This 253-nucleotide ribosomal RNA is filed under the name uncultured bacterium. RNAcentral describes it as "partial 16S ribosomal RNA". It matches the Rfam family "Bacterial small subunit ribosomal RNA", at positions 524 to 776 of the family's 1533-position model. The record is from RNAcentral.
UACGUAGGGGGCAAGCGUUGUCCGGAUUUACUGGGCGUAAAGAGCGUGUAGGCGGCCAAGCAGGUCCGUUGUGAAAACUGGAGGCUUAACCUCCAGACGUCGACGGAAACCGCGUGGCUAGAGUCCGGAAGAGGAGAGUGGAAUUCCUGGUGUAGCGGUGAAAUGCGCAGAUAUCAGGAAGAACACCAAUGGCGAAGGCAGCUCUCUGGGACGGUACUGACGCUAAGGCGCGAAAGCGUGGGGAGCGAACAGG